GCGCUUUUGUCCAGUGCAAGAA
RNAcentral lists this microRNA (22 nucleotides) under Caenorhabditis briggsae. RNAcentral describes it as "Cbr-Mir-305-P2_3p* (star (passenger))". The record is from RNAcentral. Lineage: Eukaryota; Metazoa; Nematoda; Chromadorea; Rhabditida; Rhabditidae.